UACGUAGGUGGCAAGCGUUGUCCGGAAUUAUUGGGCGUAAAGCGCGCGCAGGCGGCCUUUUAAGUCUGAUGUGAAAGCCCCGGGCUCAACCUGGGAACUGCAUUUGGGACUGCAAGGCUGGAGUACGGCAGAGGGAGGUGGAAUUCCACGUGUAGCAGUGAAAUGCGUAGAGAUGUGGAGGAACACCGAUGGCGAAGGCAGCCUCCUGGGCUAGUACUGACGCUCAUGCACGAAAGCGUGGGGAGCAAACAGG
RNAcentral lists this ribosomal RNA (253 nucleotides) under uncultured bacterium. Its description in RNAcentral is "partial 16S ribosomal RNA". It matches the Rfam family "Bacterial small subunit ribosomal RNA", at positions 524 to 776 of the family's 1533-position model. The record is from RNAcentral.